GAUGAACGCUGGCGGCGUGCCUAAUACAUGCAAGUCGAGCGAACAGACGAGGAGCUUGCUCCUCUGACGUUAGCGGCGGACGGGUGAGUAACACGUGGAUAACCUACCUAUAAGACUGGGAUAACUUCGGGAAACCGGAGCUAAUACCGGAUAAUAUAUUGAACCGCAUGGUUCAUUAGUGAAAGACGGUUUUGCUGUCACUAAUAGAUGGAUCCGCGCCGCAUUAGCUAGUUGGUAAGGUAACGGCUUACCAAGGCGACGAUGCGUAGCCGACCUGAGAGGGUGAUCGGCCACACUGGAACUGAGACACGGUCCAGACUCCUACGGGAGGCAGCAGUAGGGAAUCUUCCGCAAUGGGCGAAAGCCUGACGGAGCAACGCCGCGUGAGUGAUGAAGGUCUUCGGAUCGUAAAACUCUGUUAUUAGGGAAGAACAAAUGUGUAAGUAACUAUGCACGUCUUGACGGUACCUAAUCAGAAAGCCACGGCUAACUACGUG
This 497-nucleotide ribosomal RNA is filed under the name uncultured bacterium. RNAcentral's name for it is "partial 16S ribosomal RNA". It matches the Rfam family "Bacterial small subunit ribosomal RNA", at positions 28 to 507 of the family's 1533-position model. The record is from RNAcentral.